UGAUUAAUUACACAUUACCAUGCCAUCACAUGGUCACCAUUCGUUGCAGUGAGCAGGAGAUAAAAGCACAAGGGAAAUGUAAAAUCAAAUGUGGAUCACCCGUUGAUGGUGGACAUUAUUGUUCAUUACCUUGCCAUGACCGUAGAACUGUGCAUGCUUGUAAAGAAACGGUUUCAAAGCAGUUGAGAUGUGGUCAUACUAAGGACAUGCCGUGUUUCCGUGAGCCAAGCAAAGAAAUAUGCUUUGCACCCAUAUCGUUAAAACGUGCUUGUGGUCACGUUUUGAACGUCGUUUGUGGGGAAGCAUCUUCUUUGGAAGAAAACAUAUGUGGCGAGCUUAUUGAGAAACGGUUACCGUGUAAUCACCUGGCCCGUGUUGCGUGCUCUAUUUCUGCUGAAACAGUCUUCUGCAAUGCUCAAAUCGAGCAGCUACUAGGAUGUUGACACACUGUUCCUACGAAAUGUGGUGUCCCAUUGAAGAAGAGACUCGCAUUGACUUGUACUGUCGAGGAGGUAAAAGAAUUGCCUUGUGGCCACAUGUACCACUGAAAAUGUGGGUCCAAAGAGAGCAACAAACAAUUGAGCAGUGUCUUCUGUCGGAUUGAGGUGGAGAAGGUGAUCCCAAAAUGCGGGCACAGAGUAAAAAUCGAGUGUGGGAAAAAGCUGUCCAGGAAUGACUGUACUUCCAUGUGUGAGAAAAAACUACACUGUGGACAUCGCUGCAGGCUCCUUUGUCGAGAGCAAUGCGCCAAUUUCGGGAUCAGAACCAUACCCAGUAGUGAUCUGCGUAUACAAUUAAUCAUGUAUAACAAACACUAUAAUGUUGUCAAAAGAAAGCAAAAAGUACGUCUCUUUACCCGGUCAAUAAUCCAAAUGCAUGUUGCGGCCGUAAUCCACUCUCUUGCGUGCACAUUGCAUUCGAAGAACUCAACACGUUUAUUGGCAGAAAGAUGAGUGCUGAUGAUUAACUGAACAAUGUCACGACCCUCUGCGGUUGUCCCUCCAACCUUAGUCGACACUAUUGGGUGAACACUGUUUAUGGGAAUAUGGAUUUACCUCUUCGUACGUGUGAUAAUUUUCAAGAUCAAUUGCUUUUCCACUGUAAAGUGCGCGUCGGAGAGCGAUGGUCUCUUGUUCCUGUCGCACCAACUCACCAACAUCAGCAA
This is a long non-coding RNA of Daphnia magna, 1165 nucleotides long. RefSeq lists it as uncharacterized. The record is from RefSeq and is a predicted model, not a curated record. The transcript has 4 exons. Lineage: Eukaryota; Metazoa; Arthropoda; Branchiopoda; Diplostraca; Daphniidae.